GGGGAUUUAGCUCAGUGGUAGAGCGUUUGCCUAGCAAGCGCAAGGCCCUGGGUUCGGUCCCUAGCUCCG
RNAcentral lists this transfer RNA (69 nucleotides) under Rattus norvegicus (Norway rat). It matches the Rfam family "tRNA". From Rfam's summary of the family: Transfer RNA (tRNA) molecules are approximately 80 nucleotides in length. Their secondary structure includes four short double-helical elements and three loops (D, anti-codon, and T loops). Lineage: Eukaryota; Metazoa; Chordata; Mammalia; Rodentia; Muridae. The record is from Rfam by way of RNAcentral.